UGACGACCGGCGCACGGGUGCGUAACGCGUAUACAAUCUACCUUGUACAGAGGAAUAGCCUUUAGAAAUGAAGAUUAAUGCCUCAUAGUCUAUUAAUAUAGCAUUAUAUAAAUAGUAAAGCUUCGGCGGUAUAAGAUGAGUAUGCGUCCUAUUAGUUAGUUGGUAAGGUAACGGCUUACCAAGACAGCGAUAGGUAGGGGCCCUGAGAGGGGGAUCCCCCACACUGGUACUGAGACACGGACCAGACUCC
This 250-nucleotide ribosomal RNA is filed under the name uncultured bacterium. Its description in RNAcentral is "partial 16S ribosomal RNA". It matches the Rfam family "Bacterial small subunit ribosomal RNA", at positions 89 to 339 of the family's 1533-position model. The record is from RNAcentral.